GACGAACGCUGGCGGCGUGCUUAACACAUGCAAGUCGAACGGAAAGGCCCUGCUUUUGUAGGGUGCUCGAGUGGCGAACGGGUGAGUAACACGUGAGUAACCUGCCCUUGACUUUGGGAUAACUUCAGGAAACUGGGGCUAAUACCGGAUAGGAGCUCCUGCUGCAUGGUGGGGGUUGGAAAGUUUCGGCGGUUGGGGAUGGACUCGCGGCUUAUCAGCUUGUUGGUGGGGUAGUGGCUUACCAAGGCUUUGACGGGUAGCCGGCCUGAGAGGGUGACCGGCCACAUUGGGACUGAGAUACGGCCCAGACUCCUACGGGAGGCAGCAGUGGGGAAUAUUGCACAAUGGGCGGAAGCCUGAUGCAGCAACGCUGCGUGCGGGAUGACGGCCUUCGGGUUGUAAACCGCUUUCGCCUGUGACGAAGCGUGAGUGACGGUAAUGGGUAAAGAAGCACCGGCUAACUACGUG
This 468-nucleotide ribosomal RNA is filed under the name uncultured bacterium. Its description in RNAcentral is "partial 16S ribosomal RNA". It matches the Rfam family "Bacterial small subunit ribosomal RNA", at positions 28 to 507 of the family's 1533-position model. The record is from RNAcentral.